This 327-nucleotide ribosomal RNA is filed under the name uncultured Anaerolineaceae bacterium. Its description in RNAcentral is "bacterial SSU rRNA". It matches the Rfam family "Bacterial small subunit ribosomal RNA", at positions 344 to 687 of the family's 1533-position model. Lineage: Bacteria; Bacillati; Chloroflexota; Anaerolineae; Anaerolineales; Anaerolineaceae. The record is from RNAcentral.
GGAGGCAGCAGUGAGGAAUAUUGCACAAUGGGGGAAAGCCUGAUGCAGCAACGCCGCGUGGGUGAUGAAGGCCUUCGGGUUGUAAAACCCUUUUCUGGGGGACGAGAAAGGACGGUACCCCAGGAAUAAGUCCCGGCUAACUACGUGCCAGCAGCCGCGGUAACACGUAGGGGGCGAGCGUUAUCCGGAUUUACUGGGCGUAAAGCGCGUGCAGGCGGCUUGGUAGGUUGGACGUGAAAGCUCCUGGCUCAACUGGGAGAGGCCGUUCAAUACCGCCAGGCUCGAGGUCGGAAGAGGGGAGCGGAAUUCCCGGUGUAGUGGUGGAAU